GGUUGCAUAGCUCAGCUGGAUAGAGCAACUGCCUUCUAAGCAGUAGGUCUUUGGUUCGAAUCCAAAUGCGACCAC
This 75-nucleotide transfer RNA is filed under the name Pedobacter glucosidilyticus. Its description in RNAcentral is "tRNA-Arg". It matches the Rfam family "tRNA". Rfam says of the family: Transfer RNA (tRNA) molecules are approximately 80 nucleotides in length. Their secondary structure includes four short double-helical elements and three loops (D, anti-codon, and T loops). Further hydrogen bonds mediate the characteristic L-shaped molecular structure. tRNAs have two regions of fundamental functional importance: the anti-codon, which is responsible for specific mRNA codon recognition, and the 3' end, to which the tRNAs corresponding amino acid is attached (by aminoacyl-tRNA synthetases). tRNAs cope with the degeneracy of the genetic code in two manners: having more than one tRNA (with a specific anti-codon) for a particular amino acid; and 'wobble' base-pairing, i.e. permitting non-standard base-pairing at the 3rd anti-codon position. The record is from RNAcentral. Lineage: Bacteria; Pseudomonadati; Bacteroidota; Sphingobacteriia; Sphingobacteriales; Sphingobacteriaceae.